ACCCGUCAAAGCGUUUCGGCCGGCCCUCGUGGAGCGGGUCGUCGCGUGCUCGGUGGGAGCCACCAGCGCCGCCGCCAUUUUGGAUGCGUUGCCGCCCGCCUGGGCAACAGGUGGUUUCGUUUCGUUUCUUUCCGCGCUGCAGUGCCGUCAAAGGUGCCCCCUCACCACGUAACCGUCAAAGGUGCCCCCUCACCACGUAACCGUCAAAGGUGCCCCUCACCACGUAACCUGCCGUGGUUUCGUAGCCGUCCCGCUGCAUCCCGCAGUUAUGCAGGAAUUCUAGCAGGUGAAGAUCCUGCAGUUUUCCUGGCUGGUUUUACCGUUUCGUAAUGCAGGGAACAGAAAAUGUCAGUGGUGAAAAUCAGUAAGGGUUGCUUUAAAAUGCUUCUCCAGUGCCCUCGACGAGUCGUGAUACAUUCAGCUUCAAUCCGUAACGUUGAUUGAUGUGUGACAGUCUGACUAUAAAAAAAAUUGGAAAAGAAUGACAUGUUGAGGGCAAGCUAAAAGGCAUCAAACGUACAGAUGAACAAAAUAAAGGACUAUUGCCCGAUACGAAUAGACGUAAAUAUACGUAAUAAGAAAUCUGCGAAGGAGGGGUUGGUUGGUAUGAGAUAGCAUGUGAAUGCAACUGCAGAUGAUUUUGCCCCUUGAAAUCCACUUCUUUUUCCCCCACACACGAAGAAAGGAUGCAGGAGGCUUAGCAGGAGCAUUGCUCUGGUCAGUGAAGGAGUCCCGGGUCCGGGUUACCCCGCGCUGUCUCGCAGCGGCUCAGGGGAGGCAGUGGGUUGCCGUUUCUUAUUUUAGGUGCUAGAGACGAUACGCUCAUGCAGUGCAGAUUUUCCACUUGUGGCCUCUGCUCACUGCCUCUUCUCAGCUCUUCUUACAUCCCGCUGUCUUGAGUUCUGCGGCUGCUGUGUCUGCAACCCUUCCUUUAGGCUAGAAAUACCAUUUCUAAUAGCACUUCCAGUAUGUUAAGCACAGCUUUCCUGGCACUUCCCUUCCAGGCAAAUGUCAUCUCCCAGCACUGUUUCCCAUCACACUUUCCUUCCAGAAUCUCUUUCCUUUUCUUUUUUUUUUUUUCCAUUUUCCCUCCACACCGCUGAAAGGAAGGGAAAAAAUUAUGGCAUGUGGUUAAUGGGGUAAAAAAGAGAUGGAAGGUAGAAGUAGGCAAAAGAAAGCAAAAAGUAACUCCUAAAUAAUGUAUUCAGGGAGCAGUAACAUUUACUGCACAUUUGUGAGCUAAUAGGUACUGUAAAUCUGAAUUUGGGGUAAUUUACAUCUGGAAGCUCAUAGGAAUGGGGUGAUACGUACAUGGAAAAGCAAGUCUAUCACACGUCUGUGGUUGGAAUAAGUGGAGACGUGACUGACUGCAAUUCCUGUUCUCUCAUAGCCAUGUAAAUCCUUUGUGUCUAAUCAGUGGGAUCAGAAUUUCAAUCAAUAAGUUUCAUUUCAGUGGUACUAGCUGGAGGGCGUUAUGAAAAGUGCAGCAAAAGAAAAGCACAAACGAAAAUCCAGAGGCAGCAUCCUCAUGAGAUGGCUACAUUUUGCUUGCCAUCUUCUCCAGCAAUUUCCCAGCCUGGGAGUCACAUUGGGAUAUUCUCCAAGGAUUUCACUAGGAGAAUUUGUCUUUCAUAUCAGCCUCUGGCUACUCAUUAUGUGACAAAUUGUAGCCUGUGCCUCCUGCCAUGGAGAAAAUGAUUUCACUUCUGCCUGACCAGUGUGGGGUCCGCACUAGGCCUUUUCUCCCAUGUGUGGUCCCCAUCACUACAUAAGUGUCUGCCAGUCUCUUCUUAAGGGACAGCCCAAAAAGGCAAGUCUUCUGCUUGGUGUCUCUGCUCUCAGAUGCAGGGGAGCAGCUGUGAAGUUGAGCCAUUUCUGAGCCAAGUUUUACAGGUUUUAUGUCACUGGUAAUUGAGUGAGGCUGAUGGGAAAGUUCCUUUGAAUUUUUCUUAGAAGAAAAUUUCAUUUUUUUUACAAAUUGUGUUUUCAUGGCAGAUGGAUUUCAAGAACCUGAAAAAAAAGCCUGCCUCUCCUACCAAGCAAUGAAAAUAUGUAGCAGUCUACUUGGCUUUUGAGAUUAAUAUGUUGGUUUUGUGAUUGAAAAUAAUGUUUCCACCUUUCAGGGACUGACAGGAGUUCUUUUUUAGUAAAAAGUAGUUGGUCUCAGGAACAACUUCAGAGAAAAUUGUUUUCUUUUCUUAAAUAUGCAAGAUAUUUUUCAUGACAGGUGUGGGGGGAUGACUUUUUUCUGGCCAGUCCUACAGUUAAACUAUUUCUCUCAAAGUGCAUGAAGGACAGUGCUUGUUUCUACUUGGACUAUUAUCUUUAUAAACAUUAGAGUGAACAGCGUACUUUAAACCAAAACCCUCAUUCUCCUGUAUCUUUGAUCUGUGCCUUAUCAAGAACAGGCUUCUCUUCACAAUCUGCUUUCAACCAUUCUGCUAGAAAAAAAUGAAUUAGAUAGUCAUUUCUUUAAGAAGCGAAGGAUGGGAUAAUGGCAAGAGAAUUGAUGGAUGCAUUUGAAACGUGUUGUGCCAAAGUGAUGUUACGAGGUAUAUUGCCGUAUUGUGAUCUCCAGGGUGUCAUGUUCCUAUGGAUGGAUGAUCAGGUAUGUCUCAAGGUUCUCCUGUCUGUGUCCAAAUGGUGGGAGAGAUGUGCUCUCCAGCAAACCUCAUGGUCCCAGGCUCCCCACUACCAGCUCAGGGGUUUGUAGAGUGCUCUGACUUCCUUCUAACCUAGACAGUUUGUUUUCUUUCUUACGGAAACAUAGCAGACAGUGUGAUGCAGGAGAAGCCAAGGAGCACAUCGGGACCCAGGACUGAGGAAGCCCCUCUGGGUCCCACAGUCUGGACAUGGCCUCAGGGAGCAGUUGCAAACGCCUGCCGCAGAUCCGGGCCGUGAAGGCAGCGCGUGUUCUCGGGAUGUAGCCAGCGCAUGCCUCCCAGCUUGCCAGGAGGUAGCAAAACUGGCUGGGAAAACCCUUCCUACUUUAGGAUUGUUCUCUGCAGUCUAUGAUCUUACACCUCUCCAGUAUGGUUUUAAUGCACGUUAAUGGAACUGCCACCAAUCUCAUGGAGAGACAGCAAUACAUUCUAGCAGAUCUCACCAUUAGGAAGUUUUCCCCGGAUAUGCAGCCAAAUUUUUCAAUCUUUAAAUUGAUGUCAAUUACUCCCCAGCUAAACCUAGUUAUACGGUGGAAGAUAGGUUUAAAAUACUGCAUGAUCUCACUAAAUUGGAGAAAUGGACUGAAAUCAAUACAAUGAGAGGCAGUAAGAAUGCCCAUAAAGGUUAAGUGGUUGAUGGAGGAAGGAUUAAUGAAAUGCACAGAUACUGGGUCAAAUUGCAGAUAUCCUUACUUCAUUCUUACUCCAUACUACACAAAUAUGUUCUACUUAGGCAAACUCAAUGAGGAGGCACCCAGGAUGUGGCUAGUGACACAGAAAGUACAGACCAAUAUUAAGGGAAGAGAGGGGAUGAGAUGGAUGUAAAAUAUGGAAAGUUGGACUGAGAAAAAGAAAGUGAUAUUAAUACAAGAAAGACAAAUGACAUUUGGAUAGGAAUAUGACCUGUGAAAUAGCUGGAGUCAAGGAGGUAGACAGAUCCAUAGAUCCACACAUCCACAGCCUGAUCAGGUUUAGAAUAGACAAUGAUAACUACUCUCCCUUUACAUCUACCCCCCGCCUCAAGAAAAUACAAAUCAAUCCUAGUCCACAUUUCCUGUAACACCCUGAAGUUGAGUGGAAGAAAUGCCAUGAAACUCUGCAUAGCUGUUGCUACCACCAGUCAUCCUCCUCUUGGGAACGCUGAUACACAGAGUCUUCGUGCUGAGGGAGGAGAGCAGAGAGCAACCAGGAUAUGUUCAGAGGAAAGUAACGAAUGCUGGAUAGAAGAUCUGUUGGGGAAGGUGAUGAGGGUUGCAUGUAUGUGGGCUGGGGGAGCCCUUGGAGAGGAGGAAAGGUUUGUCCACCAGGCCCUCGAGACUCCAGCGGAAUGAAGCCAUUGCUCAGUGCUGUGGCUCACGCCACUGAUUUCCCAAGGAAUGAAAUCAGUUUCUGCAGAAUUAAGCUUUUCAUAUAAAAUUCAAGGUUUCUGCUACUUGUUGCUGUGAAAAGAAACUUUAGGUGUGACCUGAGUUAUCCAAGUCUACAGAGAGUCUCCAGUUACACAGUCUCAAAGUGAGAAAGAACUUGUCAGUAACCCUUAAUGAGGUGUGAACUUCUCUCCUUUUUCUGCAGUGACUAUUAACUCCCAACCCCAAGAAAACUUUUCUGAGUCAAUGUUUUCCUUUUUCUAGUAGUUUAGGGACACAUGGCAGAUAAAGAGAAAAGCUUGGAGGCCUAAAAAAAUCCGAAGCUGAAUGAAUAGUUGACUGUUUUACUGCUGAUCACGGGUUUAUUUGCAUUGUUGGGGACAGGUUUACAUAAAGCCUCACUAUUUUCUGCUCCUUCAUCCAAUCCAGUUCCUGCUUGUAUGGUACCCUGGAGAGGAUAAGAACUAAACGUCCUUUAUGACCAAAGUGUUCAUGCUGCAGUGGUGAUGUGAGAACCUAAAUGGGACAGAACUACAAGUGGGAAGAAGCUUAUUUCCAUCGACUUUCUGCAGUAACAAAUGUAUAAUAACACGAAUGAUUCAGCAAGUGGACUGGUAACCUUGAAAAGCAGUGACGCUGAAGCUAUACAACGUGGUUCUUAAGGCCACGGUGAGAGAGUGCCAGGAAUGAGACAGUGUAGCUAGCCUUGGCUUGGAGCAUAAGGUGGACAAGGGCCAUAUCGGUCUUACACCAUUCCUAUUUCCUUGAUAUCAAGGAUGAUGAUUUACUAGGAAUGGAAAAAAAUCUGCCAUGAUCCAGGAAGGCCGUGAUCCAUCCAUGAACAGGAAGGCCUGUUAGAGCCAUAGUCAUGAGUCCUAUGUGUAGGAAAAUCAGUCUUUGCUUGGGUUUGAUGAAACCAAGUUUAACAUUCUGCAUUAAACAUUCAAGUUCAAACAUGCAACUGAUUGCACAGACGUGUCAUUUCAUUCAGCUACUGUCAUCAGAUGCAAGAUCUGGGCAUACAAUUUAAGCAGCUCCAUUUACAGCACUUCAGGAACAUUCCUGUUUUUAUAUAAAUGCUAUCCAGAAACCUCGCAGCUCUCAUUCACACAAGUAGUCCUGAUGAGUGAUCUUACUGAGGAAUGCUAAUUUAGUCCCUAAAAAUAUGAAUGUAUACUUACUUUACAGCUCACAGAAACUCACUCCAAGUACAAAUAUAUCAUCAGUUAAAUUCAAUUCCUACCAUUUUUCCCGACAAAAACCUUUCUGUGUAUUUUGUGUGGAAUCAUCACAUUGUUCUUCUAUUAGAAAUAUAUAUAAGCAUCUGCUUUUCCAAGUUGUAUGUCAGUGUCGUGCAAUGCUUCCUGAUUGUAACUACUGAUGUGAUUCACAAAGACUAGCUUUAGCUGACCGAGGCUAUAAUCAGUGAAGAAAAAGAGAGGUGCUCCUCCAGCAGAGGAUGAAUAAUGGGAAUCAUCUCUCACCUUUGAUUGCGAAGAGGACCUAUAGAAACUGCCUGUCCUUGGCUAAAGUUAGCAUUCAUAAGCAUCCCUCACAAUGCCCUAAACCAAGGACUUGCUUUGACUGGAAGGGAAUGGAGAACAAAUUAUACACAUGCCAAACAGGCAGUGUUACUCUGAAAAAGUCAUACUGGGGGAAACCAUCUCAAUCAUGAAUAAAAGCAAGCAAGCACUGUUUUUGGAGUAUCAAUGCAAACAGUUUACAUCAAAAUAUUGGCUGGAUGCUAAAAUCGAUCGAGGCUCACAAAGCAGUUCGAAAAAUUCAUGGAAAAUACAUCCAUCAGGAGUUAUUAAAUACACAAAGAUCUUGCCUCUGGCCCAAGAUAUCCCCAGGUCACAGGCUGUCGGGAGUUGUGAGUGCGAGGGGAGAGGGUUGCUGUACGCAUGCCUUGCUCAUACACACUCCUGCCCGCAGCCUCUGUGGGCCACCAUGAGGUCCAAGGAGACCGGGCUAGGCAGACCAGUCUGGCAUAGCCAUUCUUGCAUGCAAACUCUGACUAUGUCUAGGAAAAGCUGUAAAACCUACCGAGAGGAGUACAUUUCACUGGCUGAGUACAGUCGGCAGCCUCUUUGCCAAAGUCAGCAGUGAAACGCCCCUUGAUUUCAGUGGUGGCAGAUACUUAGUCUCUGGCCAGCUCAAGAGGGUUCUGCAUUAGUGACUCAAGAGGUGGGAAAAUGCAUAAUUACAGCACAAAGGCCACAGGCUGCUGAAGCAGUCCAGCUUAUUCAGGAUAUAUUUGACUGCUGCCUGGACCAGCAGAUCCCAAGUUUGGCUGAAAAAGCUUAUUCUGUGGCUGAAGUCUUUCAAAUGCACUACAUGAAUUCCCUGAUCCCCCAACAGAGGUCUUGGGUCCAGGAUCUUUUGAUGACUAGGUGGGAUCUCUGGCAGCCUGCAAGGGGUAGUUCACCCCUUUCUCUCUCACUCCCUGAAAUUUUCUUGGAAUCUCAUAUUCUUUUCUUCAUCUCCUAAACUGCUGGAGAAAACUACACUGAGUUAUUAAGCAUCUGCUUUAUUCCAUUUUUCAGCAGUGGAUGACAUGAGACAUAUAGUCUUAUAGUUUGUAUAAAUGUAAGGUAUUAAUGGCUUCUUGAUUUUUGAAUGGACAGCCUUUGGAAAAAGGUCGAUGAUCCCUCAGCAGAUGCACAAGAAUUGUGUUUUCAUUGUUUUGUAUCCUUUGCUUUGCUUGAUGUGAGGUACAUGUUAGGGCAAUUAGAGGUUUCUUUGUAUUGAAGAUAAAUGUGGUAGGAUUUAACCUUUGUGUACAAAGUUGGAAAUUGUUGGAUGAAAGUACUGAGAGAAGACUCAGGCUGGAUGUAAGUCCACUGCCUUCAGUAGGCUGAUGCCAAGGGAAAAUUAAAAUAUGUUUUCUCUAAGGCAGAGACUAAGGGUCUUAGCAGCCAUUUAUUCUUCUUGCUAAUGGUUGUUCUGCUCAUCUUCUGACUUCAGAGACAGGCUCAGUGCAGCAGGCAGGACCAUUCGUGUGUGCUCAGGAGACCCAGCUGGCUUUGGUGACCAGUUUGCAGUAUGCCAUGGCUAGGCUGUGCCUGCAGCUCACAGGAGAGAAGAUGCACCCAUUAAUUCCACCAUUAAACCUGCCCUGUGACAAUCAGUCACCUUCUUGCACCUUCUUUGGUGAAUGAGCGUCCUCGCUGGUUGCUGGGUGACGUCAGCACCGGCAGUGACACAAACACAUGCUUGUGUAGCUGGGCUGGUCCAGGGAGAGGCUCGCAGAGCAUAAGUCUGUGCCUAGGCUCUCUCCGUCCUUGUAUGAACUUCAGUCUUAUUCUUGGCUCCCGGCAUCUACUGAGCCACAGAGAAAUUGUAGUGUGCCUUCCUAUGAAAUAAAAGACAAGAAAGAGAGCCUAAGAGAGCAUGCAGAAGGUUAAAUUAGCAAACAGGACCACUGUGGAUUCAUUUGGAGGUCUAUCCAACCUGGCUUGAAAUGGUUCCCAGUAAUGCCAUCUUUCUGCUCCUGGCUUUUCUUUCCUCUGUUUGUUGCGUUGGCUUCUGGGGGAGUCCCCACGCUGGGAUGGUGCCGUCACUGCCCCUUCUCCAUGGGAGGAGGUGGAACGGGGAGCACAGCUCUGGCCAGGGCCUUACUCUGUAAGUUACUGCCAGGAGGGUCGUGACAAGAACCCCAAAUCCUGGGUGCCACCUCGAAAGGGGCUGCUCCAUUCCCUAGAAAUAAACUUCUGGAAUUGUCUUUCAAUGCUACAGAGAAAUACCUGGCAGGUCCUAGAAGAAGAAUUUGCUAAAGAUGUGGUAGUACAAGUGCAUUACACGAAAGAGCAGAGCAGGUCACUGAAUUCUUAAAUGUAGGACGUGUAGGUCCCUAUUGGCUCCCUCAAAAAAUCCUUUUAGUGCCAUUAGAUAUGCAGGCAGGAUGGAGUGUCUCCUAAUAACAUCCGUGAUUGUAUUGGGCAAAUGAAGUCUAGCAAAAUUCAUUGCUUUAUAGAGCUUGCAAUAAACUGAUUUGAAGACAAUCUUAACCUGUGCAAAUCUUAGAUGUCUUAAAUCCCCUCCAGAUCAUGUUUCACAGUUCCUCUUUUCCUCCCGCUGUGUUUUUUCUUUGGUUGUUUCCUCUCUCCUAACUGCCCUUCCUCGUUUCACCCCACACUGCCAUUUCCAGGUCCGCUUCCAGGUUCAAAUUCCUGCUCCCCUUUAGAGAGCACGAGGGCAAAAGUCUCAGGCUUGAGUGUGAAAUCUGCCCAGCUGGUCGUACCCUUCUCUGGGCCAAGCUGAGACAGUCUGCGACCCACAGAUAAAAAUCUCUGCUGGGAGUUACUGUUUCAUCUGCUGCGACGCAGCGACACAGGGUGCUGCAGCCGCCUGUCAGACGGAAACCCUGCUACGGGAGCGUGUCCUUGCUGCCCAGCAAGCUUUUAUCUUCUGAACACCUUUAAACCUGCACUUCAGCUCGCGUGUGCCUGCUCCAAGGUGAGACUCAGCGCCCGUUGUCCGAGACGCCGAGGCAGGGUGACGGCAGCCCGUGGGUGCUGGUGCUGCGCUCGCGCGCGCUUUCUGCGCUGCCGGGAAGUCGGCCGAGCGGGGUGAGACACGGGUUGUUUGCACAAGGCUCGGUGCUGCGGGAAUCACAUUCGCCUGACUCCAGGGCAGCCUGAAGCGUGGCAAAUCCUGGCGGAGGGGCCACAGCCCCCGUCCCAUGUCCGAAUGGGAAAUCCCAGAGGGAACCUUCAAGUGUUGUUCAUCCAGGCAAUAUUGUCACGCCCUGGCGGGGUCACAUCCUGAAAAGUGGCACUCCUGGGAGACGCUUCUCCUUGGGGACGGGACUAGGCACUCGGGGUGGCGGGUGCCGCUUAUUGAAUCCGCUCUGUCACUCGAAGCAGCACCUUGCUUUUCCCGAGAAGUCUGUCCUCUGGGACAACUUGGUGUGAUGGUAUCAGGAACUGCUGACUUCAUGGCACACUGGAGAUCAUGUUCUGGUGGAUGUGACAUUUCCGGGAGGCUCAGUAAGAUUUGCUUUACAAACCGUUGGUGCCCUUGCCAGGAAAUUUGCCCCGCUGAGGUCCCUGUAGUGACGGCACUGGGCAGGCACCGUGCAGGUGGGGAGCUGCUGUUUCCUACGGGCAGAGAGCAACGGAGGCAGCUCCCGUCCGGCCAGCGCCUGUGCCGAUGCAAACAGCUCUGCUUCUUCCUGGGGGCAGGAGGUUUGCUCGGCUUUGCUGAGAGGGGAACCCGAAGGGGUGCAGCUAGCUGAAACUCCCACUCAGCCACCUUGUACGUUGCUUCUUUUGCAGCAUAUUUGGCUUUCAGGCCAUGGAGACUGCAUCAAGCUUCAUCAGCCGAUGUAGAGCGUUUUUUGAAGUUUCAAUUGCUGCUUCCUUGCCUGAGACGGAGCUAUCAUUUUUAUGCUUUGGUUGCUUAGGCAGGGAAAGGGAAAGAUGAACAAAUCAGUACAGCCCUCUUGAAUUAGGAUUGAUUUUCAUGAAUUCUUCUUCUUGAUUUUGAAACACAAUUGUUUCUAAAGCAUUUAAUUGAUUCAAUUUUUUUCUUCUUCUUUCUUUUCAGCAACACUUGUCCUCAGCCAUUUGCCACUGCUGGGAGAAAAAAAAAAAAAGAAAAAGAAAAUAAGCUCUGUGUGAGAUCAAGAUUUCAACGCAUUACACACCAAAACAUUUGUUGCUAUUUACUUUUAAAAGUGCCCUUCUGAGGCAGCACGGCUAGAGCUGCCAUCUGUUCGGGAUUACGCUGUGGAACUCCUGGUUUCUCUGCAAACCUCCCGCCUCGUGCGCGGCGCCGUCUGCACGGAAAAGAGAGGUAGCCGGGGCUAAAGGGCUGGCUUUAGAGGAAAUAUGACUUUACAGCUGGAUCUGAAAAGCUGACCUGGUUGUCAGGGAACCACGGACAUGAAGGGUGGAAAAAAAUUCUCGCUAGUGAAGUUGACUCCGUGGCGCGUUUUCUAAGGUUCACUGGGAUGUUACGUGCUGGUUAAAAUACGAAAGGGUCAAGACGGGAAUGUUGCUAUUCAUCUCCUCGCUUUAUGAAGGCAACAGGGAAAUUUGGCCCACUGUCUUUCAGUGCAGUAAAGCCCCCAUAAGGUUGUCACCCCUGCAUUUUUCCUGCCCUUCCCUGAUCCAUCCAGGGUAGAUUCUGGGUGACGAGGGACGAGAAGUCUUUGGUUUUUUGAAGUCAGAGUGGAGUCAGUUUAAUAAUAUAUAGUAGAGGUCAGAAGGGGAUUCAGAUUGUUUGAAAGCGCAGGUGAAAACCCCAGACCUGCCAUCCGCAAAGCGGCAGGAGCAUAAACGCAUCCUCGAGUCCAUUGCUUGGUCAGGUGUGCUGCGUCUUUCAAGGCUAGAGAUUUCUGAGACAGCGAGGAUCAGGAGGUCUCACUGUGGGGUGGUUUUCUUCUCUCUUUUCCAAAAUGGGUUUGUCCAAAAGGUGUAAGUGAAGUCUCUGGGCUCCCAUUUGGCAAGGGAGAGGAUCAGCUCCUGUUGCCAGAGGUAUCCACCCUGCUCUAAACGCACGCUUUUCACCGCUCCAAGUGGCUGUGGGGAGCCUUGGUGACUAGCCACAAAGCUCCUGGAGGUGCUGGCUCCACACAGAGCAUUCAUGUCCCUCCUUGGAUCUGCCUUAGAGGCUCUGAAGGCACCAGAUGCUAAUUAUGGACACGGCAGUCACCGCCUUUUCAGCUGUAACUCAUCUAGAGCGCUGUCUUGCCCCCUUAGCCCAUCCUGGCUCCAGCGUCGCUGACCUGAGAAACGGUUAAGCUACACAGCAGCUCUGCAAGUCUGUAGGUGGGUCUUUAUUUACCAACUUUACAAAUCAACGAACUGAGGUGUGGAGGGAAUAAAGCUGGGAGCCAGCCCUCAAAGCGGGCUCCGGCAGAUGGGUGUUACCUUGCGCGUGGGUCGGGGAACCGGCGAGCAGAUUACUGCCUGGUUCAAAUGGUCCCGAUUUCCAAAGCGGUCUUCUGGGCCUAGAUUUAUAAAUUUGCUUGGAGAUAUAAAAAGUGAGCAGUGUUUUUCACAAGUGUUCAGCAAACAAGAGCUUUUGCUCUGCCAGUGCAGUGCAGAUGUAGAAAAUUAGCUUCUUUGGGCCUGAUUCGGGGAGCUUGUGUGCAGUUUUGGACAUCUGGGCUUGGUGACCUAGGAAGCUCUGACAAAUGCCGAGUGCAGCACUGCAGUGUGCUCUGCGUGCCCAGGACGUGCUUUGGGUCCCCAGCACACUUCCAGUAUGCAGCGUAAAUGGAUCUCUUUUUCUAGAUAGCCUCUUACCUGGCUUUGUAAAUACAGCCAGAAAAAAGACUUUUUAGGGACAAACAGAAUUUAAGCUCCCAAGUGCUUAAGCAGUUUUUAAAAAUGGCUCAGAUGCUUCUCAAUUGCUUGGAUAAAUUAGAGGAAUACAGUGUCUUGUCUAUAUCCUUAUACUGCCACUCCACAGAAAUUAUUUGCAUAGAUAGCCAAGGGCUGAGUCAAGUAUGUGUCCAUUAACAUCUUAAUGGCACCAUCACUAUUUAUAGCCAUGCCGCCACUUGGGGAUCUGUUCAGGCCACGGAUAACAGAGGCCGUGCAGUUUUCCAUCCCUUGUGGAGCAGCCUGGUGGGCUUAGGCCCGCUCAGCCCCAGGACCUGGUGUUCAGCAGCAAGCCCAGGAGGGAGGUUUUGUUUCCAGACGCUGGGGCAGGGAGAAAUCAGUGUCCUCCUCCUGCUCCGUUCCUUGGCUUUCGGUGGUGGGGAGCUGCUGUGUGCAACAGAGCUGCUGUGGUGGAGCUGUUGCGAUGGCCUCAUCCAGCUAUUUCGCUUCAUCCACACGCCAGAUUUUUGUCGGUUUAUCACUAAUCACUUUAUAUAAGCAUGAUGGAAGCGUAUGCAAGGUUGUGCAUAUAGAGGUUUUGCACUCGUUUAACCAAGUUGACUCAGAAAUAAGUUUCUAUUAACCCAGUGCAGGAUCUGUGAGAAGAUGGGGAUGGGGAGGAAGUACUUCACUCUUCUGGUGGGGAAGGAAGCUAUGCUGCAAGGUGCAAUAAUUUGGCAGAUCUAUUCUGGAACAAAAAUGCCUGUUAGAACUUGUCUCGUCCUCUGGGAAGAAAAUUUUCCCCAGCGUGUGUGUGCAUCGAUAAGAUCUGGACUGAAUGUGCCUCGGUGCUCCUCCAGAUAAUGCCGCUGAAAAAGCAGCUUGCUUAAAUUCAUCUUUGCAGCAGCAUAACGUGCCUCUAGAGCCCAGAGCAUCUUCCCCUUGAGCGUAGGGAGCUCUCUGCACUGAAGCCUCGCCGGCAUGCAGGAAGGGGCCAGGCACAGUGCAGGGACUGGAAAGGACUGAACAGUGUACCAGCAUCGAACAGAGAUGAAAUAAGUAAUGAAUUGAUACCUCUUCCAGUGUAAGUAUUCAGCAGCUUGCAGGCCCUCUUAAUGGCUGCAAGGAUGCUGGCUGAAUGCAGUUCAAAUUAAGAGCCACCUUGUCAGCGGUGGGCUGGGAAGGCACUGGACAAUUUUCUCUCAGACUAAUCACAUCAGGCAAUGGAGCCAGUAGCAAACCGUGUCACAAGGAAUGUGAAAUAUUGGCAGCUUCCCAGUCCAUUCAGUUAGGGCUGGAUUCUCCUUUCCCUCCGUCCCCAAACCCAUGUUACCACUGCUCUUCUUUGAAAAUUAAGGUAUGUCAGAUCCAAGCCGGGGCAUCAAACCGGGCUUCCUGGCGAGGUGCUGCACCGCGGCCCAGGAGAGUUUCAGGGAAUCUGCUUUCUAAGGUUAUGAAAUCAAGGCUCGCAUCGUAAGAGAGAAUUAAUCUUUUCAAAUUGCCCUUUAGCCUGUACAGUUCUGAGCAGCGCAGUAUUAAUAUUUUAAGUGGAUUUUAUAAGCUCGCUUGAAAAAGCCGUGGUGGAGGAGGGGGGAGAGAUGGCCUUCUCCUUGCUGCUAACAGUGCUGUUUAACCCUCUGGGCCCUGCGCACGGGCAUGGAGGGAGCGGAAUGGCUCGCUGCUGAGGACUGAGCUCGUAUUUUAGAGGCACGUGAGAGAGGUGACACGAGUCUGGUCUUUCCUGUGCCACGCUCGCGCUGCGGGGCUGGGGCUGCGCGCCUUGAGAGGCCAGACGCGGUCCUGCCCUUCCGACGCGGCUGCUCGCUGGAGCUCGAAUCCGGCAACUCCCCGGGCAGAGCUCAAACGCUUCCCGAAAGAGCUGCGGUGCUGUUACUUACACUUGGUCUCUAAUCAAAAAGACACAAAUCAUCAACAGCUCUCGCUGACAGGGUGCCCAGGGUGGCGAAUCUCUUCCUAUUUGUUGCUGGCAAGGUGCAGGAGGUGUUUUUGAUUUUUGGAUGUGCUAUUGUGUUCCUUAGUUGUCAAGCUGUGUUUAAUUAUUUAAUUAGUCAUGCAAAUUUAGCCUGAAUUUUGGUACAUCUAAAUCGUUACUCCAGCAAUUAAAAAGCUGCUUUGAUUAGCUCUUUUUACAGUGCGUGGCACAGCGGAGCCUCCUCAGCUUUCCUCUGACAAUGCAGCGGAUGGAUGGGGCGGUCGGUGAAGUGGCAACGUGGCUCCGUUUUCUGCCUCGCUGCAGAAGCACCAAAGAUACGAAGAGGAGGGUUUCCAUCCUGGCGAUGGAAGACACCACAGAAAUUUGUUCACUGGUGAUCUACCAACGCUUGGGAAUCUGAAGGUGACAAGCAAUAGCUGCUUUCUCUUGGAAUAAAAAGUUGGCCUGAAGCAUCGCACUGAACUUAUUACUUACAACUUUACUGAUGCCAGUGGGAGUAAUAGGGAGUCCUGCAUCGGGUGCACCACCAACCAUCGGAAUAAGCAGAAAUCUUCCAGCUUCACUGCUCACAGAGGCUCCUUUGCAAUCAGCACGGGCAGAUUUUCAUGGGCGACAGCGAGCUUUUCUUCCUGAGCAAAACAGACCGACGGAUUGGAGAAGCGGUGAUGAGGGAGUUAGCGAGAGCCUGGGGGAGAGAGGAGAGAUGUUUGUUAGAGAUGAAGAAACCUGGGAAAGAGAGAAGAGGAGGAUGGAGAAUGCCUCUGGGAUAUGGCCAACGUAAGAUGCAGCUUGUGGUCCUGGAGUUGGUGGCUGUGCGAUGGGACAUGGACAGCGGUGCGCAACAACUGAACGUGGCUCACCGGUAUGGAGUGGAAGUCACUUCUGUGGAAAGGUCCAGGUUUUACUGGCCAACAGAGACCUGAGCCCUCUUUGAAUAUGACAGGAGAUAAACCAGAGCCAAAUUGCACCCUGCAAAGAGAAUACAAUGGAAAUGAUGGGCAGAAGUGGAUUAUUGGGAGAAUUAUUCAUUUCUAGAGCAUCUUGGAGACAACAGAGCUGUGGUACCUCAGUGCCAGAGAAGCAAACAGCCUCGUGUGGGCCAGGGCUGGAGACCGAGGGUGCCUCAGGCUCCCCGGGGGAGCCCUCACUGCUGGCAGUCCCGCCGGCUCCCGCCUCCGUGCCGUCGAUGCUGGGGCUGAUGCUCUGCAGGGCUGUGCUGGAGGGUCCGCUCCUCCUCCCGCCGCUGCUCACCCUGCAGAAAAUCCCCUGGUAAAGCCGGGUUCCUCGUGGCCUUCUGAUUUAUGGUACCCUGGCAGGACUUUUCAGCAUUAAUAUAAUCUUUCUUAAUAAAAAGGGGGGGAAAAAAACCCACUCUGUCCACCUUGCCCUGAGUUUUCUUCUUUUCAGUUUCCCCUUUUCUCUUUUCCCCUUUCCUCGCGCUGCAGUUUUGCUAUAGAGAGAGCAGCUUAGAUGGCCCUGCUGGCCUUUCCAGACUGGUGAAAGCUCUGUAAAGAAAAUAAGGGGAACGUUUUACUGUACUUCCAUGCUAAAAAUAAACCCGGUCUGUAUUUCUGGAGCAUCUUUCAGCUACUGAUUUCAAAGAUCCUUAAAAUUCUCAGCUAAUGAAGCUUCCCAGCUCCCCAGGGAGGGGGACUGGAUAUUACUAGGUCGCAAGCCCUUUGGAGGAGGGCCUGCUUCUUGUUUGGCGUUUCGUACCGCCCCCGACACUGCGAGGGACCGGGAUUACAAGAGAGAAUAUGAGUUUAUAUCCAAAGCCGGUCCUGUUACAGCGACCUGAGCCCCCAGACCUGCCUGCCCUGGCAAAAGGGCAUUUGCUGGCUCUGUAGAGCAACCUGGAAUGUUUCCUCCCCUCUUCUUUUAACGUUUGGUCCUGAAGCUGUGAAGGACAGAGAUGGGAGAGGCCAAAGGGAGCCUUUUGGACCUCUUCCAGACCUCAGGGAGAGGCAUUUUUGAAGAGACAGCAUAAGUUUAUUUUAAGAGCUGUGGCUGUUAAGAAGUCCUGGGGGUUGUAUCAGGCUUUUGGCAGCCUGAAGAGGUUUGUGGAAAAGGCUCUGCCUGCUGUGGGGGAAAAAGCACGGAAUUUUCUUUUUCUCAAAAAAUUAGAUGUAUGGCAAAUGAAGGUAUUUUUCUCAAAACUCACCCCUUCCUCUCCCUAGACCAGCUGAACUGUGACAUUUGGGUGUUACCCCUGAGUCCUCUGUUAAAGGCAGCGGGAACAGCAAUGGACAAUCCUCGGGAAAGGGGGAAAAGAGCUAAAGCGAAAAGCAGAGGUGGAGCUUUCUCGCACGGCACACAAGCGCCGAGAGCACAGGUCUCUAAAACACCCAGGCCUCGUGCUGAAGGGCCCAGAGCCCUGCUGAGAUUUCCCUGCAGUUACCGACUCGUGCUGCCAGCUCCGGCGCUGCUGAGCCCACGGACCGCGAAAGGGAGGCGAAUGGCCCGGCUGCUCACGGGACUCAUCCUGGCAACGUUUCGCCAGCCCGCUCCCGGCGCGCAGAAGGACGUGCGCUCCCUGCAACCUUUGAUAUCCCCGCUGCUGUUUUGAUCUUUUUUAUCUUUCCAAGAAUCUCUCUUUUCCAGUCGUAUUUAACUACCCUUGUAGCUAAGGCUUUCAUGUGCUGAGGCAUCAAAAGCUGUUCUGAAGUCCAGGGUGAAUCAUGCCCACUCCUUCCUCCUUCCCGUAUUUCUCUUCCCUGAAAGGACGCUGUCCCAUGCACCAGGCGGGUUUGGGG
Molecule: long non-coding RNA, 16011 nt
Organism: Dromaius novaehollandiae (emu)
Lineage: Eukaryota; Metazoa; Chordata; Aves; Casuariiformes; Dromaiidae
Exons: 3
Source: RefSeq, a predicted model, not a curated record